AUUCAGCUGACGCGUCCUAAAUAGGACGAAACACGCGCCCUGGAU
Molecule: non-coding RNA, 45 nt
Organism: Schistosoma rodhaini
Lineage: Eukaryota; Metazoa; Platyhelminthes; Trematoda; Strigeidida; Schistosomatidae
Source: Rfam